AGGACGUUGUUUUUCUGUUCCCUAGCUCUGAGAAGAAAGGACGUUGUUUCUCUGUUCCCUAGCUCUGAGAAGAAAGGACGUUGUUUUUCUGUUCCCUAGCUCAGAGGAAAGGACGUUGUUUUUCUGUUCCCUAGCUCAGAGGAAAGGACGUUGUUUUUCUGUUCCCUAGCUCAGAGGAAAGGACGUUGUUUUUCUGUUCCCUAGCUCUGAGAA
Oncorhynchus mykiss (rainbow trout) is the source of this 213-nucleotide long non-coding RNA. The record is from Ensembl. Lineage: Eukaryota; Metazoa; Chordata; Actinopteri; Salmoniformes; Salmonidae.